This 133-nucleotide unclassified non-coding RNA is filed under the name Thiocapsa sp. KS1. RNAcentral's name for it is "yybP-ykoY". The stretch from base 12 to 112 matches the Rfam family "Manganese Mn2+ riboswitch aptamer (yybP-ykoY)". From Rfam's summary of the family: This RNA was originally discovered in E. coli during a large scale screen and was named SraF. Lineage: Bacteria; Pseudomonadati; Pseudomonadota; Gammaproteobacteria; Chromatiales; Chromatiaceae. The record is from RNAcentral.
GCCGCGUCUUGAGGGGAGUAGUCGCCCUUUCGUCAUGACCCGUCGUCGUGGGAGAGGGGCUCGUGUCAACACACUUGGCGCUGUCGCCAUGGCACGUGCGACCGUUCGGUUUGACGAGACCUUGGGCUCGGUG